AAUACAUAAAAAAUGCUUAUUUGUGUAUUCUAACUACAUUAAAAAGUUAGAAAUGCCAGAACUUUUUAAAUUAAAGGUCUAGAGUGAGGGGUUCAAUAUACCGCAGGGGGGUCAAAAUACCAUGGCAAAGUAAAAUUUUCAAAAUAUCUUUUCCAUCAAAGUUAAUACAUACAAACUACUUGUGUGUGUAUAUGAACUACAUAUAAGAGCUAAAAUUGCCAGAUUUUUUUGAAUUGUCUAUAGUAAGGGGUUCAAUAUAUCGCAGGGGGUCAAAAUACCAUGGCAAAGUAAAAUUUUAAAAAUAUCUUUU
This 310-nucleotide long non-coding RNA is filed under the name Mytilus galloprovincialis (Mediterranean mussel). Lineage: Eukaryota; Metazoa; Mollusca; Bivalvia; Mytilida; Mytilidae. The record is from RNAcentral.